Phyllostomus discolor (pale spear-nosed bat) is the source of this 961-nucleotide long non-coding RNA. RefSeq lists it as uncharacterized. The record is from RefSeq and is a predicted model, not a curated record. The transcript is spliced from 2 exons. Lineage: Eukaryota; Metazoa; Chordata; Mammalia; Chiroptera; Phyllostomidae.
GAUCAGAAAUCCUCUGUACCUGAAGACCUAGUUAAGGUCACCUGUAACUGUUGGGGAGAGUGCCUUUGCCACUCAGGACCCAGGAAGGGUCAUUCAGAGCUGAUGAGUGUUUCAGCCUGAGGCAAAGGAGUAUGUGUCUGCCAAUGAGACACGGCCUGAAAGAGCAUGUCUCUGCAGAGGCACCAGUGGACGCACUGGUACAAGAGAAUGCCUCUAUCUUUGUACCAUUCUGUUUUGCUCUGUAUCUGCUCUGAAGAGGAAAUUGAGGAUUCCAGGGAAAAUUAAAACUUCACACCCUAUAGGAAAAUAAACAAGGGAAAGUGUAAGAUUUGUAAAUGAAAGAAGGUAUAUAAAAAGAUAUCAGAAGAAAAAGGAUUUUCCUUCACACUUGAUAUUUUUCUCCUUACCUGAUCCCUCCAAAAUUUGGCAUUACAUAAGGUUUCUUUGCAUAAAUCCAUUAAGACCAGUCAUUAAUGGUGAUUUGUUAAUUGAAAUUUUAACUGGGAUUUCACACCUGAAGGAGAUGUAUCUGGGUUCUGGUCAUCACCAGAAAGCCCUGAGGAACUGGGAUUGACUUGCAAAACUAGCGAGAACCCACAAGAAAAGCCUAGUACCUUGGUUGGUUGUGCAGUUCAUAGCAGUCUUUCCAGGGAAGGAAUGAAGGUUGCUUUCCUGAAAGAUAGCCAAAAAGGAACCUGUAGGCACAAUGGAAGCCUCAAGGAUUUGACUGAAACAACUGGUGCAGGCAAAGCCAGAUGGCAGAUGUGUGGCUCUGCUUCUGUGCCUUGAGGGGCAGACUAAAAAAGUCAACCUAAGUGCUCUCUGUGUGAAUUCCAGUAAAGCAGAUUAAAGAUCAUAGGUGAUCCAGGCUGCUCUUAGUGUGUUUAUGCAAACAAACAGUAAAAAUUAAAAGAUGGACUGAAAGUAGUCCCUUUGAUAACAAUGAGGGUGAUCUUAGGAA